UAUUUUUCUUUCCAAACCCCCACCUUUUAGCGUUGUCAAUUCUCCAACAGAAAUCAUCCUAAAAUAACUUCAUCUUGUAAGAACAAUAAACCAUGUAUAACUAGGUUGAGUACCUAGAGUUACAUUCAUGAAGUCUUCACUGUGAAAAUAUUUUGCCUGCGGUAAUUUAAAGAUAAGAGAAUUUAAAUAUGCAAAUAGUCUCCAAGCUUGUUUAGCAC
RNAcentral lists this long non-coding RNA (218 nucleotides) under Carica papaya (papaya). RNAcentral's name for it is "long non-coding RNA (CPAP_LNC006216)". Lineage: Eukaryota; Viridiplantae; Streptophyta; Magnoliopsida; Brassicales; Caricaceae. The record is from RNAcentral.